AGGGUUUGUCUUUUCUUGAUAGAUUGUCAAAACAAUCCCAGGAUUGCCUUUCAAGGAAAAUCCAGCAGUUCACACAGACAGGCUUCAGCAGUGCUUAAAUUCUGAUCCUUUGAACACACAUAGAACUGAAAAUGAGCAACAGAGUUUUCAAAAUCUUGAAGAAAGAAACUUUGUCUUUCUUGGCAAGAAAAUGAAGCCACCAUCAAUUCUGGAAACAGCAC
Colius striatus (speckled mousebird) is the source of this 221-nucleotide long non-coding RNA. RefSeq lists it as uncharacterized. The transcript has 3 exons. The record is from RefSeq and is a predicted model, not a curated record. Lineage: Eukaryota; Metazoa; Chordata; Aves; Coliiformes; Coliidae.